AUUUGGCAUGACAAGGAGUUGACAUGAUAGCACAAACAGAUCUGGGUCCAGGCUAGUAGUGGCCUAGAAUAUUGGUCAUAUUUGGUUGUUGCAACAGUAGUGGGUGAACCUAAUGGGUAACCGUGCCUGUCUCUCACCUUGCAGAGAUCCACCAGCGUGUUGGCCUGGUCAGCCAAUUUCCUCCUUUCCAUCUUCACAUCACGCAGCCUGGGGUGAACACACAGGAAGAUUUCUAACAUUCAGACAUAAUCACAGGACAGAUUUCAUCAAAUUAUUCCCAGGCACCUGCAACGAGCCAACUCAGCUGUGCGAUUGCCCUUCCUAUUUUGCCGAACUGCUUACCAUGAUCCCAAUCCUCUCAAGCUCUGUCCGGUUGGAAGGUGCACAGCUGCACAGCUAUUUUCAGGUCUCUCCAGAGAUGUUAGAUCGGAUUCAAGUCUGGGCUCUGGCUGGGCCACUCAAGGACAUUGUCUUGGCUGUGUGCUUAGUGUCGUUGUCCUGUUGGAAGGUGAACUUUCGCCCAAGUCUGAGGUCCUGAGCACUCUGGAGCAGGAUUUCAUGAUGAAGGAUCUCUGUACUUUGCUCCGUUCAUCUUUCCCUUCGAUCCUGACUAGUAGUCCCAAUCCCUGCUCCUGAAAAACAUCCCCACUGCAUGAUGCUGCCACCACCAUGCUUCACCGUAGGGAUGGUAUUGGGCAGGUGAUGAGCGGUGACUGGUUGCCUCCAGACGUGACGCUUAUCCCUUGGAUGUUCAUUUUCUCGACAUCUAAAGGCACAACCUAGAUUCGAGCCAAUGUCUUAAGUAGUUGAACAUGUUAUUACUCCAACCUCGUGAAAGUGACAAACUGACAUGUUUUCAUUUUUGUCAAAAGCAACUUUAGAUAUACUUUUAUAACCUUUGAUUUGAUGGCCUUUGUGAAAUAUAUUUUCCAUAACCACAAAUAUUGUAUUUUCAGCCGUUUGAAGCUGGUGUAUAAAACCAAAAGAAAUAGUGCACAUAGAACAGAUCUACCGCUUCUUAGACUUGCUUAGAAGGAGCAUGACAGAUCUAUAACUCACAUUUCUAUGUGAAUUUGGUCGGGUCGCCCAAAAAGUUACAAAUUGCAGCUUUACCUCAAAAUAAAGUUAUUUACCCAGUCAGAUAUAGUGUAGUGGCAAGGGGAAUUUAGUCAAUAAAUAGUUUGCUAUCCCUUUUCCUUUCUUUCUGUGCCACCAAAUGUAUUUAUUUAUUAGAAAUUUAGGAGGAUGAAAUCUCUUGAGAUGCAGCAUCUCGUUUUCAAGAAUGUCCGAAAUCAAAAAAACAAACAAACAAUACUUAGUAAGGAUGGAUCAAAAUUUACGGAAUGGUAGCUGGAGGGUCAUGCUUUUUCAAUUUCGGUCAAGGGGAAGGUUUAGUAUUUCAUCUAGUCCAGGGGAGGAUCAUGUCAUUUCUAAUUCAUGAAAAUUAGACAUUUCUCAGUGUUUUAGAAUUAGUUGCUUAUUAGGCUAUACAGUGCAUUCGGAGAGUAUUCAGACUCCUGGACUUUUUCCACAUUUUGUUACGUCACAGCCUUAUUCUAAAAUUAAUAAAAUAGUUUUUUCCCCCCACAUCAAUCUACACACAA
This is a long non-coding RNA of Salvelinus fontinalis (brook trout), 1604 nucleotides long. RefSeq lists it as uncharacterized. The transcript has 3 exons. The record is from RefSeq and is a predicted model, not a curated record. Lineage: Eukaryota; Metazoa; Chordata; Actinopteri; Salmoniformes; Salmonidae.